GGGUCGUACGGCGAUGGAGUUCGCCACAACCGCCCGCGGGGGCUGAUGACUCCUACCGAAAA
RNAcentral lists this non-coding RNA (62 nucleotides) under Elusimicrobiota bacterium. RNAcentral describes it as "Elusimicrobia bacterium Fluoride sequence". It matches the Rfam family "Fluoride riboswitch aptamer (crcB RNA motif)". Lineage: Bacteria; Pseudomonadati; Elusimicrobiota. The record is from RNAcentral.